RNAcentral lists this ribosomal RNA (460 nucleotides) under uncultured bacterium. RNAcentral's name for it is "partial 16S ribosomal RNA". It matches the Rfam family "Bacterial small subunit ribosomal RNA", at positions 338 to 795 of the family's 1533-position model. The record is from RNAcentral.
CCUACGGGAGGCAGCAGGGAGGAAUAUUGGACAAUGGACGAGAGUCGGAACCAGCAAAGUAGCGGGAAGGAUGAAUGCCCAAUGGGGGGUAAACUUCGUUUAUAUGGGAAUAAAAUGUUCCACGUGUGGGAUUUUGUAUGUACCAUAUGAAUAAGGAUCGGCUAACUCCGUGCCAGCAGCCGCGGUAAUACGGAGGAUCCGAGCGUUAUCCGGAUUUAUUGGGUUUAAAGGGUGCGUAGGUGGAUUGUUAAGUCAGUUGUGAAAGUUUGCGGCUCAACCGUAGAAUUGCAGUUGAAACUGGCAGUCUUGAGUACAGUAGAGGUGGGCGGAAUUCGUGGUGUAGCGGUGAAAUGCUUAGAUAUCACGAAGAACUCCGAUUGCGAAGGCAGUUCACUGGACUGCAACUGACACUGAGGCUCGAAAGUGUGGGUAUCAAACAGGAUUAGAUACCCCUGUAGUC